CCUACGGGCGGCAGCAGUAGGGAAUAUUGCUCAAUGGACGAGAGUCUGAACCAGCCAAGUAGCGUGAAGGAUGACUGCCCUAUGGGCUGUAAACUUCGUUUAUAAAGGAAUAAAACGAGGCACGUGUCCCUUUUUGCCUGUACUUUAUGAAUAAGGAUCGGCUAACUUCGUGCCAGCAGCCGCGGUAAUACGGAGGAUCCGAGCGUUAUCCGGAUGUAUUGGGUUUAAAGGGAGCGUAGAUGGGUUGUUAAGUUAGUUGUGAAAGUUUGCGGCUCAACCGUAAAGUGGCAAUUGAUACUGGGAGUCUUGAGUACAGAUGAGGAGGGCGGAAUUCGUGGUGUAGCGGUGAAAUGCGUAGAUAUCACGAAGAACCCCGAUGGCGAAGGCAGCUUACUGAUCUGUGACUGACAUUGAUGCUCGAAAGUGUGGGGAUCAAACAGGAUUAGAUACCCCUGUAGUC
Molecule: ribosomal RNA, 460 nt
Filed under: uncultured bacterium
Lineage: Bacteria
Description: partial 16S ribosomal RNA
Rfam family: Bacterial small subunit ribosomal RNA
Source: RNAcentral